Non-coding RNA from Anolis sagrei ordinatus, 485 nucleotides. Lineage: Eukaryota; Metazoa; Chordata; Lepidosauria; Squamata; Anolidae. The record is from RefSeq and is a predicted model, not a curated record.
GCUUUUCGUGAUUCUUCUCGUUCUUCCUACAAGCGUUUCUUCUUGCGUGACGCGUUGGUUCGAUCGGGAUGACCCUUCGGGAGUGGGAGACUUUGAAACCACUGUCGACUUGAGGAAGGAAUAUCCUGGCCAGCUUUGCCCACAUCCCAUUGGGAUUGAAGCCCAGACUGUGGACGGCAUCCCUGCAGCCAACACAGGACAGACAUUUAAUCCGUUCAACGCUGUGGAAGGCUUCGCUUGUGUCAACGCAGCACAGAAAACUGGUUCCUGUCGGGAUUACAGAGUCCGCUUUAUCUGUCCUCCAGAGUUCUGCGCAGGAUGCACAACCCGUUGGUUUGAUCGGGACGACCCUUCGGGAAAGGGAGACUACGAACUCAUCGUUGAUCUCAGGAAAGAAUACCCGAACGAGAUCUGCACCGAACCCGUAGCAAUCACCGUCCAGACGCUGGAUGGGACCCCCUCCUCCCAGACUGGACAAACCUUUG